GGAGAGGUCGCAUAGCCUGGUUUAGUGCAGCAGCCUACUAAUCUGCCAACCCGUUAAACGGUUCGUGGGUUCAAAUCCCACCUUCUCCG
Molecule: transfer RNA, 89 nt
Filed under: Abditibacteriaceae bacterium
Lineage: Bacteria; Pseudomonadati; Abditibacteriota; Abditibacteriia; Abditibacteriales; Abditibacteriaceae
Description: Abitibacteriaceae bacterium (rhizosphere metagenome) tRNA-Ser
Rfam family: tRNA
About the family: Transfer RNA (tRNA) molecules are approximately 80 nucleotides in length.
Source: RNAcentral